GACGAACGCUGGCGGCACGCCUAACACAUGCAAGUCGAACGGACUUACAAGAGCUUGCUUUUUUAAGUUAGUGGCGGACGGGUGAGUAACACGUGAGCAACCUGCCUCUGAGAGGGGGAUAGCUUCUGGAAACGGAUGGUAAUACCCCAUAAAAUAUAAAUAUCGCAUGAUAGAUAUAUCAAAGAAAUUCGCUCAGAGAUGGGCUCGCGUCUGAUUAGAUAGUUGGUGAGGUAACGGCUCACCAAGUCGACGAUCAGUAGCCGGACUGAGAGGUUGAACGGCCACAUUUGGACUGAGACACGGCCCAGAAUCCUACGGGAGGCAGCAGUGGGGAAUAUUGCACAAUGGAGGGAACUCUGAUGCAGCGAUGCCGCGUGGAGGAAGAAGGUUUUCGGAUUGUAAACUCCUUUUAUCAGGGACGAUAAUGACGGUACCUGAAGAAAAAGCUCCGGCUAACUACGUG
Molecule: ribosomal RNA, 463 nt
Filed under: uncultured bacterium
Lineage: Bacteria
Description: partial 16S ribosomal RNA
Rfam family: Bacterial small subunit ribosomal RNA
Source: RNAcentral